Molecule: long non-coding RNA, 1020 nt
Organism: Clarias gariepinus (North African catfish)
Lineage: Eukaryota; Metazoa; Chordata; Actinopteri; Siluriformes; Clariidae
Exons: 3
Source: RefSeq, a predicted model, not a curated record
AAACGAAGAAGAAAAAUUUCAGUUUUUAAAAAUACCCGGCUAUGUGUGGACAUGGCCCUAGAGAGUUGCAAUCAGUUCAGCUCCAGUCCUAAUCAAACACACCUGAAGAAGCUUAUCAAGGUCUCCAGGAUUAUUUAGGCUUCAGGCAGGUGAAGUUUUUUCAGGUUUGGAGAUGAAACCUGCCGGCUUGCGGCUUUCUCGGACCUAACUUACCUCCCCCUGCCCUAGUUAAUUAAUGUGUGAAAGUCCAUAGUGACCGUUAAAACCAGGAGGGCAGGACUUCACACAUCAGAUGAAUAUAAAGGAGGAAAAAUGAAGCAAUGGGAUCAAAACUGAUACAGUAAAGCUCAGAGACUCCUUUCUCCUUCACUACAAUCAUUAAAGGUUCUGCUCUGAAAUGCAACAGAUGUUUUGCACUGAGGACAAGUUGUAACCCUGUUCCUGAAACCUGCAAUAAGGAUCAUGUCUGUGCCAUUUAUUAUGGCCCACCUUCUUUACGUCACCAAGUUUACACAAGGCGGUGUGCCUCUAUCGGGGAGUGCAAACUUAUAAAGCUAUAUGCUGCCUAUGAUGGCCAGUGCUGUGACACGGACUUCUGCAAUUAACUUCAAGUUGAAUCAUGAACCCCUCUGAGAUGAUUUCCUUGUGAUUCCUGUUCAAUAUUCUUUUUGAUGUUUUUUCCUCAUGUAUACAGGAACAGUACAGUUAGUUUAUUCUCUCUGACAAUCUUUUAAAUCAAAUUCUGUAGGUUCCUUUUAACAUAAUAUACACACAUUUAAUCAGUAGCCUUUUGUCAGUGCUGUUUAUGCUGAAGCAUAUUUACUUAUUUUAUAUUUAAUGGUGUGACCAUUAAAAACGAAGUUUGCUUCAAAUAAUUAAUCUGUUGCUAAUUAGUGAAUGUAACUAAUUAAACAUUAAUUCAGGUGAUGCACUACCAGAUAAUCAUUCUUAGUUAAAACUUGAAUGUGAAUGUGUCUUUUCUAUCUUUUCUCAUGUAUUAAAAUUCCUAAUAAUAAAUAA